This 333-nucleotide unclassified non-coding RNA is filed under the name Homarus americanus (American lobster). RNAcentral describes it as "uncharacterized LOC121876859, transcript variant X2". The record is from RNAcentral. Lineage: Eukaryota; Metazoa; Arthropoda; Malacostraca; Decapoda; Nephropidae.
UUCGACGUCAUAAGGGAACACACGUCCUCACCGCUGUCUCCUGCACUCUCACUCUAGCACCACCACAUCAUGGCAAGGGGUAUGGUAGUGGUGUUGGUGUGUACGUGGGCGUGCACCGUGGGCGGGACUUACGGCGCACCCGCCCCUCUACUUGGUGUUACCAGCGGGCCCCAGCAAGCAGCACAAAUGGGUGGCCGGCUACUCCGACCACCUGCCGCUCUACGUCCCCAAGCCCUAUAUCAUCCCUAAGUGGGUGCCUCACGUGGACCCCACCUACACUGCCUUCUGGGUGGCCCACACGCCCGCACCCACUAAGGGGCACAGCCUGGAAGC